RNAcentral lists this ribosomal RNA (356 nucleotides) under bacterium Fuku2-ISO-55. Its description in RNAcentral is "bacterial SSU rRNA". It matches the Rfam family "Bacterial small subunit ribosomal RNA", at positions 430 to 803 of the family's 1533-position model. The record is from RNAcentral.
GCUCUUUCGGGUGGGACGAUGAUGACGGUACCACCAGAAGAAGCCCCGGCUAACUUCGUGCCAGCAGCCGCGGUAAUACGAAGGGGGCUAGCGUUGUUCGGAAUUACUGGGCGUAAAGCGCACGCAGGCGGCUCGUUAAAUUAGAAGUGAAAGCCUUGGGCUUAACCUGAGAAUUGCUUUUAAGACUGGCGAGCUAGAAUCCAGAAGAGGGUAGUGGAAUUCCGAGUGUAGAGGUGAAAUUCGUAGAUAUUCGGAAGAACACCAGUGGCGAAGGCGACUACCUGGUCUGGCAUUGACGCUCAUGUGCGAAAGCGUGGGGAGCAAACAGGAUUAGAUACCCUGGUAGUCCACGCCGU